UCUUAUACUAGCUUAUAUAUCUUUCAAUUUAAAUGCACAACUUGCUUUUCGCAAUUUUAUUUUUCAGCAUCACAUUUGCCUACCAAACAGUUUGACAAGCACUGCAGUUGCGUGGCUCCCUCUCUUUCUCAUUCUUUCAUUCACUUUGCUGCCGUUGUUGUUGCUUUAUUUUUAUUUUCUAUGCAAAUUUAAUUAAAUGGACGUAUUUGCCAUUGCUGACGUUUAGUUUGUAAACCGAGCUGCAGCAUAAGCAAGAGCGAGACAGAAAUAACAUAUUGUGGAGCAGUGGCGAGUUAAUUAAGUUGAGCCAAAGCUGCGUACGUUGUAGAGGAGGAGGUGUGGAGAAGAGAAGAGGGGCAACAGAAAAAAAGGCAAAAGGGUUAACCAGCUGAACUCAAACAGUUGUCAGCUUUGCAUUAAAUUGAAUUAUGAUGGCAAGUGCAGAGCACCCUGUAUGUUUGUCUCUUCAGCUUGGACUCUCUGCACGUCUGUUCCUCUCGCUCUUCCUCUUCAUCUCUGUCUGCCGCUCUGUCAAUGGUAAAGUAAGAGCGCUGCACCAAAACGGAUGAACGGAUUGAUGGAGCUGCAAGCGGUUCCAGUGAAGAGCGGAAAGCGGAGAGAUCUGCUUGCUGUCAGGCAAAACCAACAAACGGAAUGCUUGAGCUUUGCAAGAGCGGCGACUCAAGAGAGAGAGAGAGAGAGAGCGAGAGAGCAAGAGCAGCUACGCCCUUUGCUAGCCGGAUUUCCACUUCAAAUAAAUCAAAGGCGAUGCUCGACUUGCAGGUAUGCGAGCAGUUCAUACUGUGCAUUAGACGGCAAGCAAAUGCGGAAACUGGCUUUGGUUUCAUCAUUUAAACUUGAUUUAGCAAGUUCUCGAUCUGUUUUUGGGGUAUAGAAUCUUCUGAUUUAUCUGCUUACUGCUUCUUCUUCUACACACAGCUGCUGCCACAUCCUUUGUCCGCUAAGCCAUUGUCUACGUUUUAUAUUUAACAAAAAAAUAUAUUGCCGAUCAAAAAAUGAGGCGUUGACAAUGCAAACAAUAAACACAAAAGACGUUCACAGGCUGUGAGACGACAAAUAAAGAGGACAAUUAUUACAGCAAUGAGUUAUUGAGUUAAACAACUAUUAUACUUAAAACAUUACUUUACUAAACUCCUUAAAAUUGUGAAAUUAAAAU
Long non-coding RNA from Drosophila sulfurigaster albostrigata, 1177 nucleotides. RefSeq lists it as uncharacterized. NCBI's taxonomy places the organism in Eukaryota, Metazoa, Arthropoda, Insecta, Diptera, Drosophilidae. The record is from RefSeq and is a predicted model, not a curated record. The transcript has 3 exons.